UCUUGGUCAUUUAGAGGAAGUAAAAGUCGUAACAAGGUUUCCGUAGGUGAACCUGCGGAAGGAUCAUUAAUGAAACUUCAAAGUCGGCCAAAGGUUGUUGCUGGUGAUUAUUCACAUGUGCACGCCUUUGGUCGCAAAUCCACACACACCUGUGCAUCUAUGACUCGAGGUUGUAAUGACUGAGAGUAACUUUUAUACACUCUUGUAUGUAAUGGAAUGUCUUUUUGUGCUAUAAUGUACAAUAUAAACAACUUUCAACAACGGAUCUCUUGGCUCUCGCAUCGAUGAAGAACGCAGCGAAAUGCGAUAAGUAAUGUGAAUUGCAGAAUUCAGUGAAUCAUCGAAUCUUUGAACGCACCUUGCACCCUUUGGUAUUCCGAAGGGUACGCCCGUUUGAGUGUCAUUGUAAUCUCACUUCUACAACUUUAUUGUUGUUUGAAUGUGGACUUGGAUGUUGCCGUUUUAUCACGGCUCGUCUUAAAUGCCUGAGUGUACCCUGUUUUGCAGCGUAUCCAGUGUAAUAAACAUUUCACUAGAGUUGGUUGAAAGACCACGUUGACUAUAUGGGCUCUAUGCUUCAAACCGUCUGCCAUGUGGACAAUUUCUUGACAAUUUGACCUCAAAUCGGGUGGGACUACCCGCUGAACUUAAGCAUAUCAAUAAGCGGAGGAAAAGAAACUAACAAGGAUUCCCCUAGUAACGGCGAGUGAAGAGGGAAAAGCUCAAAUUUUAAAUCUGGUGUCUUUGACUCCCGAGUUGUAAUCUAGAGAAGUGUUUUCCGUGUCGGACCGUGUACAAGUUCCCUGGAACGGGGCGUCAUAGAGGGUGAGAAUCCCGUAUAUGCCACGGACUACCGAUGCUCUGUGAUACACUCUCAACGAGUCGAGUUGUUUGGGAAUGCAGCUCAAAAUGGGUGGUAAAUUCCAUCUAAAGCUAAAUAUUGGUGAGAGACCGAUAGCGAACAAGUACCGUGAGGGAAAGAUGAAAAGCACUUUGGAAAGAGAGUGAAACAGUACGUGAAAUUGUUGAAAGGGAAGCGUUUGAAGUCAGUCGCAUCUGUUGGGGUUCAGCCUGGCUUUUGCCUGGUGUAUUUCCUUUCCGAUGGGUCAGCAUCAGUUUCGACCGAGGGAAAAAGACAUUUGGAAUGUGGCUGUCUUCGGGCAGUGUUAUAGCCUUGUGUUGUAUGUCUCGGUUGGGACUGAGGAUUGCAGCGCGCCAUAAAUGGCCGGGGGUCGCUCCUCUCGACACGCGCUUAGGAUGCUGGCAUAAUGGCUUUAAGCGACCCGUCUUG
RNAcentral lists this ribosomal RNA (1291 nucleotides) under uncultured Sebacina. RNAcentral describes it as "eukaryotic LSU rRNA". The stretch from base 615 to 1291 matches the Rfam family "Eukaryotic large subunit ribosomal RNA", at positions 1 to 656 of the family's 3401-position model. Lineage: Eukaryota; Fungi; Basidiomycota; Agaricomycetes; Sebacinales; Sebacinaceae. The record is from RNAcentral.